This 417-nucleotide unclassified non-coding RNA is filed under the name Hevea brasiliensis (rubber tree). Lineage: Eukaryota; Viridiplantae; Streptophyta; Magnoliopsida; Malpighiales; Euphorbiaceae. The record is from RNAcentral.
UAGCCUGCUAGGCAGAGGUAUGGCUCCCGUUCGCGUUGCCUUCCUUUCUUCGAUCCUGCUUCUGCUCUUCUGCGUCGCUGCUGCUGGAUCAACCUUUGACGACUCUAAUCCUAUCAGACUUGUGUCAGAUCGUCUUCGUGACUUCGAAGCUUCUGUCGUCAAAGUUAUCGGUCACACCCGCCGCGCUCUUUCCUUCGCCCGUUUUGCUCACAGGUAUGGGAAGAGUUAUGAGACUGAGGAGGAGAUGAAGCUGAGGUUCGCCAUUUUCUCGGAGAAUUUGGAUUUGAUCAGAUCCAUCAACAAAAAGGGCCUGCCUUACGCUCUUGCCAUUAACGAUUUCGCUGAUUGGACCUGGCAAGAGUUCCAAAAGCACAGAUUGGGAGCUGCACAGAACUGCUCUGCCACCACAAAGGGCAA